UUUUGGCGCCCAUACCGGACGGGGUAUGGGGACGGCCCUGGAAUCUGAUUUCAAGUGUUAAGGGUUAACGGGUAGCGGGACCCCUAUGGAUCCCCAUGGAUACUAGUGGGCUGGUAAAAGAGGAAAAUAUGUUGUGUAAUGAUUGAAUUACAAAAGGCGUGAUAAGUAUUAUGUUAUACAGUUUAUAUAUGAUUUCACGAUGAUGAUAAUGUUAUUGCUUUCGUAUACUGUUUUAUGAAUUUCACCGAGGUAAGUGGAUGGUAAAGGAUUUAUUAUUGAC
This 280-nucleotide long non-coding RNA is filed under the name Carica papaya (papaya). RNAcentral's name for it is "long non-coding RNA (CPAP_LNC004671)". Lineage: Eukaryota; Viridiplantae; Streptophyta; Magnoliopsida; Brassicales; Caricaceae. The record is from RNAcentral.